RNAcentral lists this ribosomal RNA (253 nucleotides) under uncultured Rikenellaceae bacterium. RNAcentral's name for it is "partial 16S ribosomal RNA". It matches the Rfam family "Bacterial small subunit ribosomal RNA", at positions 524 to 776 of the family's 1533-position model. The record is from RNAcentral. Lineage: Bacteria; Pseudomonadati; Bacteroidota; Bacteroidia; Bacteroidales; Rikenellaceae.
UACGGAGGAUUCAAGCGUUAUCCGGAUUUAUUGGGUUUAAAGGGUGCGUAGGCGGUUUGAUAAGUUAGAGGUGAAAUACCGGUGCUUAACACCGGAACUGCCUCUAAUACUGUUGAGCUAGAGAGUAGUUGCGGAAGGCGGAAUGUGUGGUGUAGCGGUGAAAUGCUUAGAUAUCACACAGAACACCGAUUGCGAAGGCAGCUUUCCAAGCUAUUACUGACGCUGAGGCACGAAAGCGUGGGGAGCGAACAGG